RNAcentral lists this ribosomal RNA (835 nucleotides) under Bacillus subtilis. Its description in RNAcentral is "bacterial SSU rRNA". It matches the Rfam family "Bacterial small subunit ribosomal RNA", at positions 64 to 873 of the family's 1533-position model. Lineage: Bacteria; Bacillati; Bacillota; Bacilli; Caryophanales; Bacillaceae. The record is from RNAcentral.
GAGCGGACAGAUGGGAGCUUGCUCCCUGAUGUUAGCGGCGGACGGGUGAGUAACACGUGGGUAACCUGCCUGUAAGACUGGGAUAACUCCGGGAAACCGGGGCUAAUACCGGAUGCUUGUUUGAACCGCAUGGUUCAAACAUAAAAGGUGGCUUCGGCUACCACUUACAGAUGGACCCGCGGCGCAUUAUCUAGUUGGUGAGGUAAUGGCUCACCAAGGCGACGAUGCGUAGCCGACCUGAGAGGGUGAUCGGCCACACUGGGACUGAGACACGGCCCACACUCCUACGGGAGGCAGCAGUAGGGAAUCUUCCGCAAUGGACGAAAGUCUGACGGAGCAACGCCGCGUGAGUGAUGAAGGUUUUCGGAUCGUAAAGCUCUGUUGUUAGGGAAGAACAAGUACCGUUCGAAUAGGGCGGUACCUUGACGGUACCUAACCAGAAAGCCACGGCUAACUACGUGCCAGCAGCCGCGGUAAUACGUAGGUGGCAAGCGUUGUCCGGAAUUAUUGGGCGUAAAGGGCUCGCAGGCGGUUUCUUAAGUCUGAUGUGAAAGCCCCCGGCUCACCCGGGGAGGGUCAUUGGAAACUGGGGAACUUGAGUGCAGAAAAGGAGAGUGGAAUUCCCCGUGUACCGGGGAAAUGCGUAAAGAUGUGGAGGAACACCAGGGGCGAAAGGCGACUCUCUGGUCUGUUUCUGACGCUGAGGAACAAAAGCGUGGGGAGCGAACAGGAUUAAAUACCCUGGGUACCCCCCCCCCUAAACCGAUGAAUGCUAAAUGUUAGGGGGUUUCCCCCCCCUUAUUGCUGCCACUAAACACAUUAAGGCACUCCGCCC